This 301-nucleotide ribosomal RNA is filed under the name uncultured bacterium. Its description in RNAcentral is "partial 16S ribosomal RNA". It matches the Rfam family "Bacterial small subunit ribosomal RNA", at positions 509 to 807 of the family's 1533-position model. The record is from RNAcentral.
CAGCCGCCACGGGAAUACGAAGGGUGCAAGCGUUACUCGGAAUUACUGGGCGUAAAGCGUGCGUAGGUGGUGGUUUAAGUCCGUUGUGAAAGCCCUGGGCUCAACCUGGGAAUUGCAGUGGAUACUGGAUCACUAGAGUGUGGUAGAGGAUAGUGGAAUUUCCGGUGUAGCAGUGAAAUGCGUAGAGAUCGGAAGGAACAUCUGUGGCGAAGGCGACUAUCUGGGCCAACACUGACACUGAGGCACGAAAGCGUAGGGAGCAAACAGGAUUAGAUACCCCUGUAGUCCCUGUCUCUUAUAC